This 28-nucleotide non-coding RNA is filed under the name Bombyx mori (domestic silkworm). The record is from RNAcentral. Lineage: Eukaryota; Metazoa; Arthropoda; Insecta; Lepidoptera; Bombycidae.
UGAACACUUGAAGCUCACUGAUAGGCGA